UCGUAUGUUGAAACAUUUGACGCCUUGGAUAAGGAUUGUAUUGUGCAGGAAUUCCUUAAUAAGUUGCAGGAGGAGGACGAGAUUGUGGAGGAAUUCCUUGCUAACUUGCAGGAUGAGGCUGACAUUGAGCAGGAAUUUCGGGAUAAGCUGCACGAGGAAGGUGAUAUAGAGCAAGGCUUUCUGACUGCCUUGCUACUGGAAGAGAAGUUCGAUGAGGUGGUGCCACUCGAUCUCCUUAGAUGGGUGGAAAGAGGACCAUCUCCUGAUAUGAGCAUGGAACGCUCAUUUGGAGGACCCGCAGCUGCAAUUCAAGAAGAAGUAUUUACAAGGGCGCUAAGGCAGCUGGAGCUUCAAUCGGAUUUUGGUUAAGGGUUUCUCUUAGUCGGGCUGGCGACUUAAAAACUAGCGCUGCAUGGGAGGCAACCCAUGUUUUCUUGCUUCUUCUUGUUUCGUUUUUCUUUCGUUUUGUUUGUGUCUUGUUUUGUUGCUUUUGUUGUUUGGUGCAGGUUGUUAUGUUGGAGACUGCUUGUUCUUUGGACGAGAGAGAGGCAGACAUUGUGGGACACUACAGACUCACCACUGGACCGG
RNAcentral lists this long non-coding RNA (588 nucleotides) under Salvia miltiorrhiza (redroot sage). Its description in RNAcentral is "long non-coding RNA (SMIL_LNC009812)". The record is from RNAcentral. Lineage: Eukaryota; Viridiplantae; Streptophyta; Magnoliopsida; Lamiales; Lamiaceae.